AUUGAACGCUGGCGGCAGGCCUAACACAUGCAAGUCGAGCGGAGCGGCGGACGGGUGAGUAAUGCCUAGGAAUCUGCCUGGUAGUGGGGGAUAACGUCCGGAAACGGGCGCUAAUACCGCAUACUAUCAGAUGAGCCUCGGUCGGAUUAGCUAGUUGGUGGGGUAAAGGCCUACCAAGGCGACGAUCCGUAACUGGUCGGAGAGGAGGAGAAGUCACACUGGAACUGAUACACGGGCCAGACUCCUACUGGAGGCAGCAGUGGGGAAUAUUGGACCAUGGGCGAAAUCCUGAUCCAGCCAUGCCGCGUGUUUGAAGAAGGUCUUCGGAUUGUAAAUCACUUUAAGUUGGGAGGCGUUACCAACAGAAUAAGCACCGGCUAACUUCGUGCCAGCAGCCGCGGUAAUUC
RNAcentral lists this ribosomal RNA (407 nucleotides) under uncultured bacterium. RNAcentral describes it as "partial 16S ribosomal RNA". It matches the Rfam family "Bacterial small subunit ribosomal RNA", at positions 30 to 526 of the family's 1533-position model. The record is from RNAcentral.